GCAGGCCUAACACAUGCAAGUCGAACGGUAACAGGAAGCAGCUUGCUGCUUUGCUGACGAGUGGCGGACGGGUGAGUAAUGUCUGGGAAACUGCCUGAUGGAGGGGGAUAACUACUGGAAACGGUAGCUAAUACCGCAUAACGUCGCAAGACCAAAGAGGGGGACCUUCGGGCCUCUUGCCAUCGGAUGUGCCCAGAUGGGAUUAGCUAGUAGGUGGGGUAACGGCUCACCUAGGCGACGAUCCCUAGCUGGUCUGAGAGGAUGACCAGCCACACUGGAACUGAGACACGGUCCAGACUCCUACGGGAGGCAGCAGUGGGGAAUAUUGCACAAUGGGCGCAAGCCUGAUGCAGCCAUGCCGCGUGUAUGAAGAAGGCCUUCGGGUUGUAAAGUACUUUCAGCGGGGAGGAAGGGAGUAAAGUUAAUACCUUUGCUCAUUGACGUUACCCGCAGAAGAAGCACCGGCUAACUCCGUGCCAGCAGCCGCGGUAAUACGGAGGGUGCAAGCGUUAAUCGGAAUUACUGGGCGUAAAGCGCACGCAGGCGGUUUGUUAAGUCAGAUGUGAAAUCCCCGGGCUCAACCUGGGAACUGCAUCUGAUACUGGCAAGCUUGAGUCUCGUAGAGGGGGGUAGAAUUCCAGGUGUAGCGGUGAAAUGCGUAGAGAUCUGGAGGAAUACCGGUGGCGAAGGCGGCCCCCUGGACGAAGACUGACGCUCAGGUGCGAAAGCGUGGGGAGCAAACAGGAUUAGAUACCCCUGGUAGUCCACGCCGUAAACGAUGUCGACUUGGAGGUUGUGCCCUUGAGGCGUGGCUUCCGGAGCUAACGCGUUAAGUCGACCGCCUGGGGAGUACGGCCGCAAGGUUAAAACUCAAAUGAAUUGACGGGGGCCCGCACAAGCGGUGGAGCAUGUGGUUUAAUUCGAUGCAACGCGAAGAACCUUACCUGGUCUUGACAUCCACGGAAGUUUUCAGAGAUGAGAAUGUGCCUUCGGGAACCGUGAGACAGGUGCUGCAUGGCUGUCGUCAGCUCGUGUUGUGAAAUGUUGGGUUAAGUCCCGCAACGAGCGCAACCCUUAUCCUUUGUUGCCAGCGGUCCGGCCGGGAACUCAAAGGAGACUGCCAGUGAUAAACUGGGGGAAGGUGGGGAUGACGUCAAGUCAUCAUGGCCCUUACGACCAGGGCUACACACGUGCUACAAUGGCGCAUACAAAGAGAAGCGACCUCGCGAGAGCAAGCGGACCUCAUAAAGUGCGUCGUAGUCCGGAUUGGAGUCUGCAACUCGACUCCAUGAAGUCGGAAUCGCUAGUAAUCGUGGAUCAGAAUGCCACGGUGAAUACGUUCCCGGGCCUUGUACACACCGCCCGUCACACCAUGGGAGUGGGUUGCAAAAGAAGUAGGUAGCUUAACCUUCGGGAGGGCGCUUACCACUUUGUGAUUCAUGACUGGGGUG
RNAcentral lists this ribosomal RNA (1451 nucleotides) under uncultured organism. Its description in RNAcentral is "SSU rRNA". It matches the Rfam family "Bacterial small subunit ribosomal RNA". The record is from RNAcentral.